GGGCGCAUGGUGUAGUUGGUUAUCACGUUCGCUUUGCAUUCAAGACUGGGUGUGUUAUGCGAAAGGUGUUGGGUUCAAUUCCCAAUGUGUCCA
Molecule: non-coding RNA, 93 nt
Organism: Crucibulum laeve
Lineage: Eukaryota; Fungi; Basidiomycota; Agaricomycetes; Agaricales; Nidulariaceae
Source: the annotation of a GenBank genome assembly